UACAGAGGGGGCAAGCGUUAUUCGGAAUUAUUGGGCGUAAAGGGUGCGUAGGCGGCAAGGCAAGUCAGGUGUGAAAUCCCGGAGCUCAACUCCGGAACUGCACUUGAUACUGCCCUGCUAGAGUACUGGAGAGGAGACUGGAAUUUACGGUGUAGCAGUGAAAUGCGUAGAUAUCGUAAGGAAGACCAGUGGCGAAGGCGAGUCUCUGGACAGUUACUGACGCUGAGGCACGAAGGCCAGGGGAGCAAACGGG
This 253-nucleotide ribosomal RNA is filed under the name uncultured bacterium. RNAcentral's name for it is "partial 16S ribosomal RNA". It matches the Rfam family "Bacterial small subunit ribosomal RNA", at positions 524 to 776 of the family's 1533-position model. The record is from RNAcentral.